Molecule: ribosomal RNA, 617 nt
Filed under: uncultured bacterium
Lineage: Bacteria
Description: bacterial SSU rRNA
Rfam family: Bacterial small subunit ribosomal RNA
Source: RNAcentral
CCUACGGGAGGCAGCAGUGGGGAAUUUUGGACAAUGGGCGCAAGCCUGAUCCAGCAAUGCCGCGUGCAGGAUGAAGGCCUUCGGGUUGUAAACUGCUUUUGUACGGAACGAAACGGCGAGCUCUAAUAAAGUUCGCUAAUGACGGUACCGUAAGAAUAAGCACCGGCUAACUACGUGCCAGCAGCCGCGGUAAUACGUAGGGUGCAAGCGUUAAUCGGAAUUACUGGGCGUAAAGCGUGCGCAGGCGGUGAUGUAAGACAGAUGUGAAAUCCCCGGGCUCAACCUGGGACCUGCAUUUGUGACUGCAUCGCUAGAGUACGGUAGAGGGGGAUGGAAUUCCGCGUGUAGCAGUGAAAUGCGUAGAUAUGCGGAGGAACACCGAUGGCGAAGGCAAUCCCCUGGACCUGUACUGACGCUCAUGCACGAAAGCGUGGGGAGCAAACAGGAUUAGAUACCCUGGUAGUCCACGCCCUAAACGAUGUCAACUGGUUGUUGGGUCUUCACUGACUCAGUAACGAGCUAACGCGUGAAGUUGACCGCCUGGGGAGUUACGGCGCAAGGUUGAAACUUCAAAUUGAAUUGACCGGNNGAGAGNGCGAGCGACGACGAGGAGGAGG